This 566-nucleotide ribosomal RNA is filed under the name uncultured bacterium. Its description in RNAcentral is "bacterial SSU rRNA". It matches the Rfam family "Bacterial small subunit ribosomal RNA", at positions 8 to 521 of the family's 1533-position model. The record is from RNAcentral.
AGAGUUUGAUCCUGGCUCAGGAUAAACGCUGGCGGCAUGCCUAAGACAUGCAAGUCGAACGAGGCGCCCCAUUGAAACUUGAAUGAAGCUGAAGAGCUUGCUCGGAAGUGGAAUGACGGAAGAUUUGGAUUCUGCGCCUAGUGGCGAACGGGUGAGUAACACGUGGGUUACCUGCCUUCAAGCUGGGGAUAACAGUUGGAAACGACUGCUAAUACCGAAUGUGCUAGAAAUAGUAAAGACGCUCCAAAGCGUCACUUGAAGAUGGGCCUGCGGUGUAUUAGCUAGUUGGUGGGGUAAUGGCCUACCAAGGCGACGAUGCAUAGCCGGACUGAGAGGUUGAUCGGCCACACUGGGACUGAGACACGGCCCAGACUCCUACGGGAGACAGCAGUUAGGAAUAUUCGGCAAUGGGGGAAACCCUGACCGAGCAAUGCCGCGUGUGAGAUGAAGGUCCUUUGGAUUGUAAAUCACUUUUAUUUGGGAAGAACUGUAAGUAUAGGAAAUGAUACUUACUUGACGGUACCACUUGAAUAAGCCCCGGCUAACUACGUGCCAGCAGCCGCGGU